GAUACACAACUAAAUAAUAAGCAUUAUAGUCACAAACUAAGGCACAAAAUGGCAAAUGGUACAAAGAACAAACCAAAUUUCCAAAGGUGGACAAAAGUUUAUUUUGCACUAGCCGUAAGUUAUGCACAUGCAAACAUGUAAAGCAAACUUUUCAACAAUCUUAUUUACUUUGUUUCAAUAAAGAAUAUGAUCAGAUCCAGGCUAAC
This 206-nucleotide unclassified non-coding RNA is filed under the name Hevea brasiliensis (rubber tree). The record is from RNAcentral. Lineage: Eukaryota; Viridiplantae; Streptophyta; Magnoliopsida; Malpighiales; Euphorbiaceae.